GAUGAACGCUGGCGGCGUGCCUAAUACAUGCAAGUCGAGCGAACAGACGAGGAGCUUGCUCCUCUGACGUUAGCGGCGGACGGGUGAGUAACACGUGGAUAACCUACCUAUAAGACUGGGAUAACUUCGGGAAACCGGAGCUAAUACCGGAUAAUAUAUUGAACCGCAUGGUUCAAUAGUGAAAGACGGUUUUGCUGUCACUUAUAGAUGGAUCCGCGCCGCAUUAGCUAGUUGGUAAGGUAACGGCUUACCAAGGCAACGAUGCGUAGCCGACCUGAGAGGGUGAUCGGCCACCCUGGAACGGAGACCCGGUCCGGACGCCUACGGGAGGCAGCAGCAGGGAAUGUUCCGGAAAGGGCGAAAGCCUGACGGAGCAACGCCGCGGGAAUGAUGAAGUUCUUCUGAUCGUAAACCUCUGUUAUUAGGGAAGAACAAAUAUGUAAGUAACUAUGCACGUCUUGACGGUACCUAAUCAGAAAGCCACGGCUAACUACGUG
Molecule: ribosomal RNA, 497 nt
Filed under: uncultured bacterium
Lineage: Bacteria
Description: partial 16S ribosomal RNA
Rfam family: Bacterial small subunit ribosomal RNA
Source: RNAcentral